Molecule: ribosomal RNA, 306 nt
Filed under: Clostridioides difficile
Lineage: Bacteria; Bacillati; Bacillota; Clostridia; Peptostreptococcales; Peptostreptococcaceae
Description: bacterial LSU rRNA
Rfam family: Bacterial large subunit ribosomal RNA
Source: RNAcentral
ACUACAUGUACAGGAUAGGUGGGAGGCUUUGAAACCAGGACGCCAGUUUUGGCGGAGCCAUCCUUGGGAUACCACCCUUGUAGUACUGGGACUCUAACCAUAGGCCAUGAAUCUGGUCUUGGGACACUGUCAGGUGGGCAGGUUGACUGGGGCGGUCGCCUCCCAAAAGGUAACGGAGGCGCUCAAAGGUUCUCUCAGUACGGUCGGAAAUCGUACGUAGAGUGUAAAGGCAAAAGAGAGCUUGAUUGCAAGACAUACAGGGCGAGCAAGGAUGAAAAUCGGACUUAGUGAUCCGGUGGUUCUGCG